RNAcentral lists this non-coding RNA (779 nucleotides) under Colobochyla salicalis. The record is from RNAcentral. Lineage: Eukaryota; Metazoa; Arthropoda; Insecta; Lepidoptera; Erebidae.
UAAAAAUUUUUAUAGUUUGAAAAAUUUAUUUAAAGUUUAUUUUACAUAUAAAUUUUAGUGUUAAUUUUAAAUUUAUUUUAAUAAUAAUUUAUUAGUUAAUGUAGUAAUUAAUAUUAAAUAUUUAAGAAAUUAAGAUUUAGUAAUAUUUAAAUUAAUAACUAAUUUUGUGCCAGCAGUUGCGGUUAAACAAAAAUUAAAUUAAAUUUUAUUAGUGAAUUAAUAUAUAUAUAAUUUAAUUAAUUUAAAUUUUAAAUUAUUAGGUGAAAUUUUAAUUUAUUAUAAAAUUAAAUUACAUUUAUGAUUUAAUAAAUUUUAUUAAAAACUAGGAUUAGAUACCCUAUUAUUAAAAUUUUAAAUUUAAAUACUAAAAUAGUAGAUAAUUAUUUAUUGAAACUUAAAUAAUUUGGCGGUAUUUUAGUUCAUUUAGAGGAAUCUGUUUAAUAAUUGAUAAUCCACGAAUAAAUUUACUUAAUUUACAAUUUUGUAUAUCGUUGUUAAAAAAAUAUUUUUUAAUAAUAAUAAUAUUUUAAAAUUUAAAAAUAAAAUUAAAUCAGAUCAAGAUGCAGAUCAUAAUUAAGAAUAUAAUGGAUUACAAUAAAUUUAUUUAGAUGAAUAUUAUUUUGAAAUAAAAAAUUGAAAGUGGAUUUAAAUGUAAUUUUAUUUAAUUAAAUAAAAUGAUUAAAAAUUGAAAUAUGUACAUAUUGCCCGUCACUUUCAUAUAAUUAAAUUGAAAUAAGUCGUAACAAAGUAGAGGUACUGGAAAGUGUUUCUAGAAAGAA